GCUUGUCUCAAAGAUUAAGCCAUGCAUGUCUAAGUAUAAACAUCUUUAUACAGUGAAACUGCGUACAGCUCAUUAUAUCAGUAAUUAUUUAUUUGAUGGUACCUUACUACAUGGAUAACCGUAGUAAUUCUAGAGCUAAUACAUGCGUAAAGUCCCGACUCUUGCGGGGAGGGAUGUAUUUAUUAGAUAAAAAAUCAAUGCAGGCUUUGCCUGGUUAUUUGGUGAUUCAUAGUAACUGUUCGAAUCGCAUGGCUUUAUGCUGGCGAUAGUUCAUUCAAAUUUCUGCCCUAUCAGCUUUCGACGGUAGUGUAGUGGACUACCGUGGCGUUAACGGGUGACGGAGAAUUAGGGUUCGAUUCCGGAGAGGGAGCCUGAGAAACGGCUACCACAUCCAAGGAAGGCAGCAGG
RNAcentral lists this ribosomal RNA (408 nucleotides) under uncultured Allapsidae. RNAcentral's name for it is "partial small subunit ribosomal RNA". It matches the Rfam family "Eukaryotic small subunit ribosomal RNA", at positions 30 to 432 of the family's 1831-position model. Lineage: Eukaryota; Cercozoa; Glissomonadida; Viridiraptoridae. The record is from RNAcentral.